UACAGAGGGUGCGAGCGUUGUCCGGAAUUACUGGGCGUAAAGGGCGCGUAGGCGGCCCCGUGCGCGUGCCGUGAAAGCCCGGGGCUCAACCCCGGGUCGGCGGUGCGGACGGCGGGGCUGGAGCACAUCAGAGGCAGGCGGAAUUCCGGGUGUAGCGGUGGAAUGCGUAGAGAUCCGGAAGAACACCGGUGGCGAAGGCGGCCUGCUGGGGUGUGGCUGACGCUCAGACACGACAGCACGGGGAGCGAACGGG
RNAcentral lists this ribosomal RNA (253 nucleotides) under uncultured bacterium. Its description in RNAcentral is "partial 16S ribosomal RNA". It matches the Rfam family "Bacterial small subunit ribosomal RNA", at positions 524 to 776 of the family's 1533-position model. The record is from RNAcentral.